AACGCGAAGAACCUUACCUGGGUUUGACAUCCCAUGAAAAGUGUAGAGAUACAUAAUAGCCGCAAGGCACAUGGAGACAGGUGCUGCAUGGCUGUCGUCAGCUCGUGUCGUGAGAUGUUGGGUUAAGUCCCGCAACGAGCGCAACCCUUUCCCUUAUUUGCCAGCAUUAAGUUGGGCACUCUAGGGGUACUGCCGAUGAUAAAUCGGAGGAAGGUGGGGACGAGGUCAAGUCAUCAUGGCCCUUACAUCCAGGGCAACACACGUACUACAAUGGCCAAGACAAAGCGAAGCGAAAUCGAAAGGUGGAGCCAAUCGCAAAAACAUGGUCUCAGUUCGGAUUGUGGUCUGCAACUCGACCACAUGAAGUUGGAAUCUCUAGUAAUCGCAGAUCAGCAGGCUGCGGUGAAUACGUUCCCGGGCCUUGUACACACCGCACUACUA
RNAcentral lists this ribosomal RNA (441 nucleotides) under uncultured bacterium. Its description in RNAcentral is "bacterial SSU rRNA". It matches the Rfam family "Bacterial small subunit ribosomal RNA", at positions 958 to 1400 of the family's 1533-position model. The record is from RNAcentral.